GACGAACGCUGGCGGCGUGCUUAACACAUGCAAGUCGAACGGUGAACCUCUUCGGAGGGGAUCAGUGGCGAACGGGUGAGUAACACGUGGGCAACCUGCCCCCGGCUCUGGGAUAACUCCAAGAAAUUGGGGCUAAUACCGGAUGUUCACCGCUUCCCGCAUGGGCGGUGGUGAAAAGGGUUUCCGGCUGGGGAUGGGCCCGCGGCUUAUCAGCUGGUUGGUGGGGUAGUGGCCUACCAAGGCGACGACGGGUAGCCGGCCUGAGAGGGUGACCGGCCACACUGGGACUGAGACACGGCAGAGACUCCUACGGGAGGCAGCAGUAGGGAAUAUUGCGCCACGGGCGGAGGCAUGACGCAGGGACGCCGCGUGGGGGAUGACGGCCUUCGGGUUGUAGACCUCUUUCAGCAGGGACGAAGCGCCAGUGACGGUACCUGCAGAAGAAGCACCGGCCAACUACGUG
Molecule: ribosomal RNA, 463 nt
Filed under: uncultured bacterium
Lineage: Bacteria
Description: partial 16S ribosomal RNA
Rfam family: Bacterial small subunit ribosomal RNA
Source: RNAcentral